ACUAAACUCAUAUUUCACGCGGCAAAGACUCUUCGCCUCCAACAUCGCGUUUUCCAUCCGAUUUCCACAACUCCCUUGUGCCACUUCAUCCCCACGGAUGAACCCGAAGCAAAGGUAAACAGGAUGGAUCGAGGCCUCGGCAUCAAUCUUUCUCCGACAUCAGCAUUCGAUUGCAAUUCAUCAAACGCACGUACAAAAAAGAAUAUUAAUCGAAUUUUGAAGCAUGAAACUCACCAAAUCGAAGCUUUAACACUAACAGGUGGAAAUUCAGUUAUGUCAUUGUGCUUGCAAUUUGCGUUCUACAGUGUGUUGCCAUUUCGGUUCGCCAAAUGCACUUGAUGGACAUGUAAUGGAUUCACCUAUGGAUAUCUGGACAGGGCGGUUAGAGGGUGACUGGAUACUGGUUGUAGAGUGUGGUGAAUGGAUAUUUAAAUGUAUAUCAGUUGUUAAAUGGAUAUUGUUAUUGUUAAAUGGUUA
This is a long non-coding RNA of Lathyrus oleraceus (garden pea), 477 nucleotides long. RefSeq lists it as uncharacterized. The record is from RefSeq and is a predicted model, not a curated record. NCBI's taxonomy places the organism in Eukaryota, Viridiplantae, Streptophyta, Magnoliopsida, Fabales, Fabaceae. The transcript is spliced from 2 exons.